GAUAUCCGGGCCUUCUACGUGAUCUUCAGCUGGGAAAACGGGGCGCAGAUCUACGAACUGGUGGCCCAGACCGUCUCCGAAAGGAAGAACUGGUGCAAAAUGAUCAGCGACACGGCUGGCGUCCUGAAGCUGCCCCACUCCGGCCGGACGAAGCCACGGCUCUCCGUCCCUAACCGGACCUCGCCCCCCAGCCCCAGCUACGACCCCGAGGGUCUCCUCUCCGGGACGGAGAACGGGGGGCCCUUGAAGGAAGAGGAGGGCCUUCCGCCCGAAGAGAGAGAGAAGGACGG
Anolis sagrei ordinatus is the source of this 290-nucleotide non-coding RNA. NCBI's taxonomy places the organism in Eukaryota, Metazoa, Chordata, Lepidosauria, Squamata, Anolidae. The record is from RefSeq and is a predicted model, not a curated record.